CUGGCGAUGCCUACCUGCAAGUCGCACGAGAAAGCCCGGUUCGCCGGGCGAGUAAAGUGGCGCACGGGUGAGUAACGCGUGGGUAAUCUACCUUUCUCUGGGGGAUAACGCACCGAAAGGUGCGCUAAUACCGCAUACUCCGGCGAAAUUUCGGUUUUGUCGGCAAAGGUGGCCUCUUGAUCAAAGCUACCGAGGAAAGAUGAGCCCGCGUCCCAUUAGCUAGUUGGUAGGGUAAAGGCCUACCAAGGCGACGAUGGGUAGCUGGUCUGAGAGGACGAUCAGCCACACUGGAACUGGAACACGGUCCAGACUCCUACGGGAGGCAGCAGUGAGGAAUAUUGCGCAAUGGGGGAAACCCUGACGCAGCGAUGCCGCGUGGGUGAAGAAGGCCUUCGGGUCGUAAAGCCCUGUCAAGCGGGAAGAACAGCCACCGGGCGAAUACCCUGGUGGUGUGACGGUACCGCUGAAGGAAGCACCGGCUAACUCCGUGCCAGCAGCCGCGGUAAGACGGAGGGUGCGAGCGUUAUUCGGAAUUAUUGGGCGUAAAGAGCGUGUAGGCGGCCGGUCAAGUCAGAGGUGAAAGCCCAGGGCUCAACCCUGGAAGUGCCUUUGAAACUGGUCGGCUUGAGUUCGGGAGAGGGAAGUGGAAUUCCGGGUGUAGAGGUGAAAUUCGUAGAUAUCCGGAGGAACCCCGGUGGCGAAGGCGACUUCCUGGACCGAAACUGACGCUGAGACGCGAAAGCGUGGGGAGCAAACAGAUUAGAUACCCUGGUAGUCCACGCUGUAAACGAUGGGCACUAAGUUUUUG
RNAcentral lists this ribosomal RNA (808 nucleotides) under uncultured bacterium. RNAcentral's name for it is "bacterial SSU rRNA". It matches the Rfam family "Bacterial small subunit ribosomal RNA", at positions 36 to 826 of the family's 1533-position model. The record is from RNAcentral.